UCCCAUAUGGUCUAGCGGUCAGGAUUCUUGGUUUUCACCCAGGGGGCUCGGGUUUGACUCCUGGUAUGGGAA
Ameiurus melas (black bullhead) is the source of this 72-nucleotide non-coding RNA. NCBI's taxonomy places the organism in Eukaryota, Metazoa, Chordata, Actinopteri, Siluriformes, Ictaluridae. The record is from the annotation of a GenBank genome assembly.